Molecule: ribosomal RNA, 1355 nt
Filed under: metagenome
Description: bacterial LSU rRNA
Rfam family: Bacterial large subunit ribosomal RNA
Source: RNAcentral
AAGGCGCGAAGCAUACGGAAAGCUGCGGCAAGUACGGAAAAGCUGAGAGCAGGCUUCCAGGAAAAGCUUCUAGCACAACACGCAUCGGCCCGUACCGAAAAUGGACACACAUGGGCAAGGAGAGAAUCCUGAGGUGAGCGAGAGAACUAUAGCUAAGGAACUCUGCAAAAUGACCCCGUAACUUAGGGAGAAGGGGUGCUCCAGAAAUGGAGCCGCAGUAAAACGGCCCAAGCGACUGUUUACCAAAAACACAGCUCUCUGCGAAGGCGCAAGCUGAAGUAUAGGGGGUGACGCCUGCCCGGUGCUGGAAGGUCAAGGGGAGCUGUCAGCGCAAGCGAAGCAGCGAGCCGAAGCCCCAGUAAACGGCGGCCGUAACGAUAACGGUCCUAAGGUAGCGAAAUUCCUUGUCGGGCAGGUUCCGACCCGCACGAAAGGCGUAACGAUUUGGGCGCUGUCUCAGCUGUAGACUCGGUGAAGUCUUAGUACCUGUGAAGAUGCAGGUUGCCCGCGACUAGACGGAAAGACCCCAUGGAGCUUCACUGCAGGUUGACAUUGGGCUUGGAUGCAUGAUGUACAGGAUAGGUGGGAGGCUGUGAGCCGUGCGCGCCAGCGUACGGGGAGCCGCUGUUGGGAUACCACCCUUCAUGCAUCUAGGUCCUAACCGGAGGCAACGGGCCACGGGACAGUGUCAGUCGGGCAGUUUGACUGGGGCGGUCGCCUCCCAAAGAGUAACGGAGGCGCCCAAAGAUACCCUCAGCAUGGAUGGAAACCAUGCAUAGAGUGCAAAGGCAUAAGGGUGUCUGACUGCGAGACAUACAGGUCGAGCAGGGACGAAAGUCGGGCUUAGUGAUCCGGCGGAUCCGAAUGGAAGGGCCGUCGCUCAACGGAUAAAAGCUACCCUGGGGAUAACAGGCUGAUCUCCCCCAAGAGUUCACAUCGACGGGGAGGUUUGGCACCUCGAUGUCGGCUCAUCGCAUCCUGGAGCUGAAGUCGGUUCCAAGGGUUGGGCUGUUCGCCCAUUAAAGCGGUACGCGAGCUGGGUUCAGAACGUCGUGAGACAGUUCGGUCCCUAUCUGUCGUGGGCGCAGGAGGUUUGAGGAGAGCUGCCCCUAGUACGAGAGGACCGGGGUGGACGGACCGAUGGUGCACCAGUUGUCACGCCAGUGGCACAGCUGGGCAGCCAAGUCCGGACGGGAUAAGCGCUGAAGGCAUCUAAGCGUGAAGCCCCCUCCAAGAUGAGACCUCCCAUUGGCGACAAGUAAGGCCCCUCGAAGACGACGAGGUUGAUAGGCCGCGAGUGCAAGCGCAGCGAUGUGCUUAGCGGGGCGGUACUAAUAGGCCGAGGACUUGGCCAA